RNAcentral lists this ribosomal RNA (407 nucleotides) under uncultured bacterium. RNAcentral's name for it is "partial 16S ribosomal RNA". It matches the Rfam family "Bacterial small subunit ribosomal RNA", at positions 30 to 526 of the family's 1533-position model. The record is from RNAcentral.
AUUGAACGCUGGCGGCAGGCCUAACACAUGCAAGUCGAGCGGAGCGGCGGACGCGUGAGUAAUGCCUAGGAAUCUGCCUGGUAGUGGUGGAUAACGUCCGGAAACGGGCGCUAAUACCGCAUACUAUCAGAUGAGGCUAGGUCCGAUUAGCUAGUUGGAGGGGUAAAGGCCUACCGAGGCGACGACCCGUAACUGGUCUGAGAGGAUGAUCAGUCACACUGGAACUGAGACACGUGCCAGAUUCCUACGGGAGGCAGCAGUGGGGAAUAUUGGACAAUGGGCGGAAGCCUGAUGCAGCCAUGCCGCGGGUGUGAAGAAGGUCUUCGGAUUGUAAAGCACUUUAAGUUGGGAGGCGUUACCAGCAGAAGAAGCACCGGCUAACUUCGUGCCAGCAGCCGCGGUAAUUC